Molecule: ribosomal RNA, 460 nt
Filed under: uncultured bacterium
Lineage: Bacteria
Description: partial 16S ribosomal RNA
Rfam family: Bacterial small subunit ribosomal RNA
Source: RNAcentral
CCUACGGGAGACAGCAGUGAGGAAUAUUGGUCAAUGGGCGCAAGCCUGAACCAGCCAAGUCGCGUGAGGGAUGACGGUCCUAUGGAUUGUAAACCUCUUUUGUCGGGGAGCAAGUCCCGCCACGUGUGGCGGGACGGAGAGUCCCCGACGACAAAGCAUCGGCUAACUCCGUGCCAGCAGCCGCGGUAAUACGGAGGAUGCGAGCGUUAUCCGGAUUUAUUGGGUUUAAAGGGUGCGUAGGCGGAAGGUUAAGUCAGCGGUCAAAUGUCGGUGCUCAACACCGGCCUGCCGUGGAAACUGGUAGUCUUGAGUGAGCGAGAAGUAAGCGGAAUGCGUGGUGUAGCGGUGAAAUGCAUAGAUAUCACGAAGAACUCCGAUGGCGAAGGCAGCAUACCGGCGCUCAACUGACGCUGAGGCACGAAAGCGUGGGGAUCGAACAGGAUUAGAUACCCCUGUAGUC